ACGGGAGGCAGCAGUGGGGAAUAUUGGGCAAUGGGCGAAAGCCUGACCCAGCAACGCCGCGUGAAGGAAUAAGGUCUUCGGAUUGUAAACUUCUUUUAUGAGGGACGAAGGACGUGACGGUACCUCAUGAAUAAGCCACGGCUAACUACGUGCCAGCAGCCGCGGUAAUACGUAGGUGGCAAGCGUUAUCCGAAUUUACUGGGUGUAAAGGGCGCGUAGGUGGGGAUGCAAGUCAGGUGUGAAAUCUAUGGGCUUAACUCAUAAGCUGCAUUUGAAACUGCAUCUCUUGAGUGCUGGAGAGGUAGACGGAAUUCCUUGUGUAGCGGUGAAAUGCGUAGAUAUAAGGAAGAACACCAGUGGAGAAGGCGGUCGACUGGACAGUAACUGACGCUGAGGCGCGAAAGCGUGGGGAGCAAACAGGAUUAGAUACCCUGGUA
This 437-nucleotide ribosomal RNA is filed under the name uncultured Oscillospiraceae bacterium. RNAcentral's name for it is "bacterial SSU rRNA". It matches the Rfam family "Bacterial small subunit ribosomal RNA", at positions 341 to 792 of the family's 1533-position model. The record is from RNAcentral. Lineage: Bacteria; Bacillati; Bacillota; Clostridia; Eubacteriales; Oscillospiraceae.